Molecule: ribosomal RNA, 436 nt
Filed under: uncultured bacterium
Lineage: Bacteria
Description: partial 16S ribosomal RNA
Rfam family: Bacterial small subunit ribosomal RNA
Source: RNAcentral
ACGGAAGGCAGCAGUGGGGAAUAUUGGGCAAUGGGCGCAAGCCUGACCCAGCAACGCCGCGUGAAGGAAGAAGGUUUUCGGAUUGUAAACUUCUGUCCUUGGUGACGAAGGAAGUGACGGUAGCCAAGGAGGAAGCCCCGGCUAACUACGUGCCAGCAGCCGCGGUAAUACGUAGGGGGCAAGCGUUGUCCGGAAUGACUGGGCGUAAAGGGCGUGUAGGCGGCCGAUUAAGUCUGAAGUGAAAGUCCCGCUUUCAAGGUGGGAAUUGCUUUGGAGACUGGUUGGCUUGAGUGCGGAAGAGGUAAGUGGAAUUCCCAGUGUAGCGGUGAAAUGCGUAGAGAUUGGGAGGAACACAGUGGCGAAGGCGACUUACUGGGCCGUAACUGACGCUGAGGCGCGAAAGCGUGGGUAGCAAACAGGAUUAGAUACCCUGGUA